RNAcentral lists this ribosomal RNA (449 nucleotides) under uncultured maize root bacterium Zmrc98. RNAcentral's name for it is "bacterial SSU rRNA". It matches the Rfam family "Bacterial small subunit ribosomal RNA", at positions 1016 to 1465 of the family's 1533-position model. The record is from RNAcentral.
CAGUUCGGCUGGACCGGAGACAGGUGCUGCAUGGCUGUCGUCAGCUCGUGUCGUGAGAUGUUGGGUUAAGUCCCGCAACGAGCGCAACCCUCGCCCUUAGUUGCCAGCAUUCAGUUGGGCACUCUAAGGGGACUGCCGGUGAUAAGCCGAGAGGAAGGUGGGGAUGACGUCAAGUCCUCAUGGCCCUUACGGGCUAGGCUACACACGUGCUACAAUGGUGGUGACAGUGGGCAGCGAGCGCGCGAGCGUGAGCUAAUCUCCAAAAGCCAUCUCAGUUCGGAUUGCACUCUGCAACUCGAGUGCAUGAAGUUGGAAUCGCUAGUAAUCGCGGAUCAGCACGCCGCGGUGAAUACGUUCCCGGGCCUUGUACACACCGCCCGUCACACCAUGGGAGUUGGUUUUACCCGAAGGUAGUGCGCUAACCGCAAGGAGGCAGCUAACCACGGUAG